AACGAACGCUGGCGGCAUGCCUAACACAUGCAAGUCGAACGAGACCUUCGGGUCUAGUGGCGCACGGGUGCGUAACGCGUGGGAACCUGCCUUUAGGUUCGGAAUAACUCAGAGAAAUUUGAGCUAAUACCGGAUAAUGUCUUCGGACCAAAGAUUUAUCGCCUUUAGAUGGGCCCGCGUAAGAUUAGCUAGUUGGUGGGGUAAAGGCCUACCAAGGCGACGAUCUUUAGCUGGUCUGAGAGGAUGAUCAGCCACACUGGGACUGAGACACGGCCCAGACUCCUACGGGAGGCAGCAGUGGGGAAUAUUGGACAAUGGGCGAAAGCCUGAUCCAGCAAUGCCGCGUGAGUGAUGAAGGCCUUAGGGUUGUAAAGCUCUUUUUACCCGAGAUGAUAAUGACAGUAUCGGGAGAAUAAGACUCCGGCUAACUCCGUGCCAGCAGCCGCGGUAAU
RNAcentral lists this ribosomal RNA (452 nucleotides) under uncultured bacterium. Its description in RNAcentral is "bacterial SSU rRNA". It matches the Rfam family "Bacterial small subunit ribosomal RNA", at positions 29 to 524 of the family's 1533-position model. The record is from RNAcentral.